GGGGCUGACUUGGAUUUCGACAGAUUUCUUGUCGCACAGAUAGCAUGCCAAGCGCUGCUUGUAAAACAGCAACAAAAAUAACUGUAAACAACGCAGAUUACGCUCCAGCUUACGCUAAAGCUGCGUGAGUUAAUCUCCUUUUGGAGCUGGACUGAUUAGAAUUUCUAGCGUUUUAAUCACUCCAUAACCUUAAGCUAGACGCUUUUAAAAGGUGGUUCGCCUUUUAAACUAAGAAACAAGAACUCUUGAAACUACCUCAAGGUUUUAGAAAGUUGGACCAGAGCUAGUUUUAAGGCUAAAAACUAACCAAUUUUCUAAGCAUUGUAGAAAUUUGUGUUUAGGACAAGAUUUUUGGACUGGGGUUCGAUUCCCCACAGCUCCACCA
Molecule: transfer-messenger RNA, 385 nt
Filed under: Helicobacter pylori
Lineage: Bacteria; Pseudomonadati; Campylobacterota; Epsilonproteobacteria; Campylobacterales; Helicobacteraceae
Also listed under: 1 other name
Rfam family: transfer-messenger RNA
About the family: Bacterial tmRNA, also known as 10Sa RNA or SsrA, is named for its dual tRNA and mRNA-like properties. Its role is to liberate the mRNA from a stalled ribosome. To accomplish this part of the tmRNA is used as a reading frame that ends in a translation stop signal.
Source: RNAcentral